UACGUAGGUGGCAAGCGUUAUACGGAUUUAUUGGGCGUAAAGAGAACGCAGGCGGUCUUUUAAGUCUGAUGUGAAAGCCUUCGGCUUAACCGGAGUAGUGCAUUGGAAACUGGGAGACUUGAGUGCAGAAGAGGAGAGUGGAACUCCAUGUGUAGCGGUGAAAUGCGUAGAUAUAUGGAAGAACACCAGUGGCGAAAGCGGCUCUCUGGUCUGUAACUGACGCUGAGGUUCGAAAGCGUGGGUAGCAAACAGG
RNAcentral lists this ribosomal RNA (253 nucleotides) under uncultured bacterium. Its description in RNAcentral is "partial 16S ribosomal RNA". It matches the Rfam family "Bacterial small subunit ribosomal RNA", at positions 524 to 776 of the family's 1533-position model. The record is from RNAcentral.